UACAAAAACAUCUGUCGCUGAAAAUCAAGAAAUUAGUGCGGAUCGAUAUUACUAUUUGGUAAAAAUAUAAGCAUUGUUUAUGGAGUAUUCUAUGCUAAUUAUACAUUUUUUUAAAUCUUAUUUUAUUUCUUACAAUUACAAACUAUCUCAUCGAUCGGAAAAUUGUAAACUUUGGGAAAGUGAUGUUAACACGAUUAACGUGGUUAACCUUACCAGAGAUUCAGCUGAAUCGAUGAUUGAUUUUGAAUCGGCUAUAAAAUGAAAAUCUGUUGCUGUUACAUAGGGCUGUAAUACAGAAUAUAUUCCAUUUUAAUUUUGGUUCAGGUGAAAUACAAUUGACAUAAGUAUGCUAGAGAAUACAUCAUUGAUGACGCUAAUGUUUUUACCAAACAGUAGCCUCAAUAUUCGUGUAUUUCUCAUAGUUAUAGAUUUUUUUCAAAUAUCAAAUCCUGCUAUGAAAUAUAUACUCAGUGAAAAUACAGUAAAAAAACACCCCUCACUAGUAGCGCAAUAGUUUAAGUUUAAAUGUAAGACAAAGAACUGUGCUUGGAAAAACAUUGUCAUUUAUUUGUUUAGAGCUGAUUUGAAGAGCAGCCUAGUUAAAAUUUUAACAGGCGUAUUUUAAGGACCAUCCUAGUGUACAUUGCGUCAAUUACGAGUGGAGUUGAAUGUGCUUGGUCAAUAAACCAGCAUUCUCUGCGUCCUACUCGCAUCAGCUGAACUAGUUUUAUCGUAAAAUUAAAGUACACUGAAAAAAAUUGUUCGAAGACUGUCACCAUACCGACAUGCAUUUGUAUUAUAAAUAGAGGAACUGUACAAAAAAGUAUAAAACUUACUUUUAGCUGCCGAAAAAUGAAAAAUUGUGCGAUUCUUUCAAUUACACGAUAACACAGUAAGAAAAUGCACUUGUUUCUAGCAACAUUCUCAGUAUUAAUCUGUAAAAUGUAAGCAAUUUGGUGUAACUUUGGUGCACGAGAAGUAAUCUGGGUUACCUUAAUCAUGUAGUUCCGUCAACCAGUCGUAAUACAAAAGUAUUCGAGAGGCCUGAGUAGGCAGUAUAUUCUAUGAUAGUUUUACAGGAAGACUAAUAUA
Long non-coding RNA from Diprion similis, 1092 nucleotides. RefSeq lists it as uncharacterized. NCBI's taxonomy places the organism in Eukaryota, Metazoa, Arthropoda, Insecta, Hymenoptera, Diprionidae. The transcript has 3 exons. The record is from RefSeq and is a predicted model, not a curated record.